RNAcentral lists this transfer RNA (73 nucleotides) under candidate division WS6 bacterium OLB20. RNAcentral describes it as "tRNA-Ala". It matches the Rfam family "tRNA". From Rfam's summary of the family: Transfer RNA (tRNA) molecules are approximately 80 nucleotides in length. Their secondary structure includes four short double-helical elements and three loops (D, anti-codon, and T loops). The record is from RNAcentral.
GGGGUUGUAGUUCAGACGGUAGAACGUCGCAUUCGCAUUGCGAAGGUCGCGGGUUCGACUCCCGCCAACUCCA